AGAUUGAACGCUGGCGGAAUGCUUUACACAUGCAAGUCGAGCGGCAGCGCGGGGCAACCUGGCGGCGAGCGGCGAACGGGUGAGUAAUGCAUCGGAACAUGUCCAUGUCGUGGGGGAUAGCCCGGCGAAAGCCGGAUUAAUACCGCAUACGCCCGAGAGGGGAAAGUGGGGGACCGCAAGGCCUCACGCGAUUGGGUUGGCCGAUGUCCGAUUAGCUAGUUGGUGAGGUAAAGGCUCACCAAGGCGAUGAUCGGUAGCUGGUCUGAGAGGAUGAUCAGCCACACUGGGACUGAGACACGGCCCAGACUCCUACGGAGGCAGCAGUGGGAAUUUUGGACAAUGGGGGAAACCCUGAUCCAGCCAUUCCGCGUGAGUGAAGAAGGCCUGGUUGUAAGCUCUUUGUCCGAACGAAACGGUUAGGUACGUAAUAAGACUGACUACUAGACGGUUACCGGAACGAAUAAAGACACCGGACGUAACCUAACGUACCCUAACGCCACGCCGACC
Molecule: ribosomal RNA, 507 nt
Filed under: uncultured soil bacterium
Lineage: Bacteria
Description: bacterial SSU rRNA
Rfam family: Bacterial small subunit ribosomal RNA
Source: RNAcentral